UUGAAUAUAUAUAUAUAUAUUAUAUAUAACUUCUCACGAAGAACCAUUGCCAUGCUCUCAUGCUUUAUUUCUCUAGAAUUGUUGAGGAGAAUGGAAUCUGGUUUGAGAUUGUUCAUAUGAAUAAAUUCAAACAGAGAAUCUUUCAUCCGAAUGAUCUCGGACCAGGCUUCAUUCUCGCCAGCUCUUCAAUUAACUUAGCAUGCUCUCAUUCACCUAGUUCAUAACAAAUUUAAAAAGAAGGCCAACUUUCUUUUUCUUCGCACACAACAGAUCCUCCAACAUCUCUUUUUUCCCUCCACAUCAUUCACUGUUGGCCACCCUUCCGUCUCCCCUGCCGUUUAUCUUCGUCAAUCGUCGCAGACAUGCCGUACGUCCAAUCGCCGGUCUUCAUCAUGUGAAUCACCGCCAAUAAAUCUGUUUCUCUCUCUGUUUUUCCCUCUUUCCUUGUUCCAGCCGAGGAAUAAAAGCAUGGGUUUCUUAGGGAUCUUUUUUUUAAAUAUUGUACUUCAAAAAACUAUUUAGAAAAGUAUAGUUUACAAAAUAUUUAUGGAAAUAUGGUUGUUUUUUUUGUAAGAGAGAUCUGAAUGAAAAAAAAAAAAGAAAAAAAAAAAUUGGCUGCUGCCGUCAGUCCUGCCGAUUUUGUGGCAGGUGGUGAGGAUAGGUUGUGGCAGGCGCAAACUUGCGACCUA
Non-coding RNA from Benincasa hispida (wax gourd), 689 nucleotides. The record is from RefSeq and is a predicted model, not a curated record. NCBI's taxonomy places the organism in Eukaryota, Viridiplantae, Streptophyta, Magnoliopsida, Cucurbitales, Cucurbitaceae.